This 96-nucleotide non-coding RNA is filed under the name Oxalobacteraceae bacterium. Lineage: Bacteria; Pseudomonadati; Pseudomonadota; Betaproteobacteria; Burkholderiales; Oxalobacteraceae. The record is from RNAcentral.
UAGCGAAACCGGAUAUGUACCUCUUUACACCUGAUGUAAAGAGGUACAUAUCCGGUCUGUCCGGCAUUGUGGCCGGGCACUGAUGAGCAACCAAGG